GGAGAAAACACUGGUUCUAGUGAAGAUUUGAUACCAAUUAGAGCAUGGAGGAGGGGGCAAAGGGGACUGAAAGAAGAAACCAUGAUCAGCAGCAAGCCAAAGUAAAAUCUAUUCUGUACAAAUGGAUGAAGAGUUUUAAGACCAUUGAAAGAAACCAACAGCAGGCAUUUUGUUUUAAGAAUUUUUUUUUCUUUUUUUGGUUAAGAGUUUUAAGAUAAUGUUUAUUGUUUGUCACUGCUUAAGAAUGUAAACUAGAUUGGUUUAUCUGAUCA
Macadamia integrifolia is the source of this 272-nucleotide long non-coding RNA. RefSeq lists it as uncharacterized. The transcript is spliced from 2 exons. Lineage: Eukaryota; Viridiplantae; Streptophyta; Magnoliopsida; Proteales; Proteaceae. The record is from RefSeq and is a predicted model, not a curated record.